GGGCAUGUGGUGUAGUUGGUUAUCACGCUCGCUUAGCAUUUAUGCAGGCUUGACAAUGAAUACUUGCGAGAGGGGUCCGGUUCGAUCCCGGACAUGUCCA
Molecule: non-coding RNA, 100 nt
Organism: Trametes cingulata
Lineage: Eukaryota; Fungi; Basidiomycota; Agaricomycetes; Polyporales; Polyporaceae
Source: the annotation of a GenBank genome assembly